Alexandromys fortis (reed vole) is the source of this 237-nucleotide long non-coding RNA. RefSeq lists it as uncharacterized. The record is from RefSeq and is a predicted model, not a curated record. The transcript has 2 exons. NCBI's taxonomy places the organism in Eukaryota, Metazoa, Chordata, Mammalia, Rodentia, Cricetidae.
AUUGUUAUUCUUAAAAAACGAUUAGAGAGCGGCUACAAACGGUUCCCGGGCGGGCUGGCGGUGCCCGCCAUGGGAAAGCGGCUACAAAGGAUCCCCGGGCGGCUGGCGGAGGGAGCCCGCCAUGAGGGCGGCUACAGGAGGGCACGCUUCCUUGGCCCACAGUGGCGGCAGGUAACAGACACGUAAACACAGGAAAUAGCCAUAAGUAUUUAUUAAGGAAGGGGGAGAAAGAAAGAC